AUUGAACGCUGGCGUGCUUUGGCCUAACACAUGCAAGUCGAACGGUAACAGGAAGCAGCUUGCUGCUUCGCUGACGAGUGGCGGACGGGUGAGUAAUGUCUGGGAAACUGCCUGAUGGAGGGGGAUAACUACUGGAAACGGUAGCUAAUACCGCAUAACGUCGCAAGACCAAAGAGGGGGACCUUCGGGCCUCUUGCCAUCGGAUGUGCCCAGAUGGGAUUAGCUAGUAGGUGGGGUAACGGCUCACCUAGGCGACGAUCCCUAGCUGGUCUGAGAGGAUGACCAGCCACACUGGAACUGAGACACGGUCCAGACUCCUACGGGAGGCAGCAGUGGGGAAUAUUGCACAAUGGGCGCAAGCCUGAUGCAGCCAUGCCGCGUGUAUGAAGAAGGCCUUCGGGUUGUAAGGUACUUUCAGCGGGGAGGAAGGGAGUAAAGUUAAUACCUUUGCUCAUUGACGUUAACCGCAGAAGAAGCACCGGCUAACUCC
Molecule: ribosomal RNA, 490 nt
Filed under: uncultured bacterium
Lineage: Bacteria
Description: bacterial SSU rRNA
Rfam family: Bacterial small subunit ribosomal RNA
Source: RNAcentral